This 90-nucleotide transfer RNA is filed under the name Geminicoccaceae bacterium. RNAcentral describes it as "tRNA-Ser". It matches the Rfam family "tRNA". Rfam says of the family: Transfer RNA (tRNA) molecules are approximately 80 nucleotides in length. Their secondary structure includes four short double-helical elements and three loops (D, anti-codon, and T loops). The record is from RNAcentral. Lineage: Bacteria; Pseudomonadati; Pseudomonadota; Alphaproteobacteria; Geminicoccales; Geminicoccaceae.
GGAGGGGUGCCGGAGUGGUCGAUCGGGGCGGUCUCGAAAACCGUUGUGCGGGCAACCGUACCGUGGGUUCGAAUCCCACCCCCUCCGCCA